Musca vetustissima is the source of this 196-nucleotide long non-coding RNA. RefSeq lists it as uncharacterized. The transcript is spliced from 3 exons. Lineage: Eukaryota; Metazoa; Arthropoda; Insecta; Diptera; Muscidae. The record is from RefSeq and is a predicted model, not a curated record.
UUAAAGCGAGAAAACGUUCAAGUUUUUCCUAAAGUGAAAUACAAACAUGGUACUACUUUUCAUGGGCUCAGCGAAAAAGUUAUGCUUUCCUAAACACCAGCAAAACAACAAUAACAAUUUAACAACGUUUUAUUCAACAUAACAAAGAACUUUCGUUGAAAUUGAAAACCCACUACUACUACUACGUUAAGCAAAA